GUCAGAGAUUACCCAUAACGAAGAAAUCGAAUGAGGGCUACUGCAGCGAUGGCUAGUAGCGAGUCGAAAGAUAAUGUCCUAGUAAUAUCUGAUGAGAUAUCUACUUUUUUUCAGCAAUAGAUUUUAGGUUAUGUAUGUACCUAUUAUGUAUGUUACAAAGAGGAGUUGUUUGACUCUCUAAAGAGCAGUGAGGGCACCAUUCACUUGCCGAAUGGAUCAAGCUGUGCGAUCAAAGACAUUCGGAAUAAUUAGUUGGAGGACACAUGAUGGUGCAGUGAGAAGAUUGAGAGAGGUCAAAUACAUAUUCGAUUUUAGAUGAAAUCUUAUCUCACUAAAUAGACUGAAUUCAAACGGCUAUAGGAUGGUAGUUUGUGAUGGAAUCCUGAAGAUUUUGCAUGGUGAUAGGAUGAUAUUGGAGAAGAAGAAGAGGAUGAAAGAACAUUACUACCUGGUGGAGAGCCUAGUGCGAGAUAGAGCUUCAGGAGCUAGGGAGAGUUUAGAGCGAGAUGGAGCUCUAGGUGGAGGUAGAUCGAGUAUGAGAUGCGAGACUCGAGAGGAUGAUAGACGAUAUCACAAGGUGAGGUUCCUAUUACCGCAGGAGGCUAUCCUAAGCAGAUCUCAGAUCAGAAGGAGCAUAGUAUAUAAUGGAGAUGAGAUGGAGCGGUCUGGCUCAACUUUAAUGUUUGUCUAUCCAUGAUCAGUAGAUAUUUGCCCUAGGGUAUGGGGGCGAGAAGAUUCAGCUCUCAAAGUUAGGUGGAGAUCAAAUAUCGAGUCAAGAUGGAGAUUAUUGAGAAAAAUAUCUUAAGAUUCGAUGCACAAUAAGCUUAGAACGA
Molecule: long non-coding RNA, 833 nt
Filed under: Elaeis guineensis (African oil palm)
Lineage: Eukaryota; Viridiplantae; Streptophyta; Magnoliopsida; Arecales; Arecaceae
Description: long non-coding RNA (EGUI_LNC037737)
Source: RNAcentral